UACGAAGGGGGCUAGCGUUGUUCGGAAUUACUGGGCGUAAAGCGCACGUAGGCGGAUUGUUAAGUUAGGGGUGAAAUCCCAGGGCUCAACCCUGGAACUGCCUUUAAUACUGGCAAUCUCGAGUCCGAGAGAGGUGAGUGGAAUUCCGAGUGUAGAGGUGAAAUUCGUAGAUAUUCGGAGGAACACCAGUGGCGAAGGCGGCUCACUGGCUCGGUACUGACGCUGAGGUGCGAAAGCUAGGGGAGCAAACGGG
RNAcentral lists this ribosomal RNA (253 nucleotides) under uncultured bacterium. RNAcentral describes it as "partial 16S ribosomal RNA". It matches the Rfam family "Bacterial small subunit ribosomal RNA", at positions 524 to 776 of the family's 1533-position model. The record is from RNAcentral.